AAACCGUUGAAAGGGAAGCGAAUGGAGUUAGCAAUUCGCCCUGCCAGAUUCAGUUGUUCGCGCGUCGCGACGAGCGCGCUCUCGAUCCGCAUGGACGAGACGUGCCCGGACGCGACGCGCGAACGGCGCACUUCUGGCGGGCGAGCGUCAGCGUCGGUCGCCGACGAGCGAUAAGGUCGCGUGCAAGGUAAACGUACCCGUUAGGGCGCGUUGUUAAGACUCGCGUGCGCAUAGCUCGACGGCGACCGUGGCUUGUAUUCUCGACGACGCGUGCCUGGCUGGCGACUCGUGCGAUCGGUCYGGCAUGUCGACCGUGGCGGACGGCACGCCUGUGCGCUCGAACCGCUGCCGGUCGCUCGCACGAUGCUCGCACACAACGCGUCGAAGAUGCUGACGACCAUACGGCUCCAUCYGACCCGUCUUGAAACACGGACCAMGGAGUSUAACAYGUGCGCGAGUCUCCGGGUGAUCGAAACCCGUGGGCGCAAUGAAAGUAAAGGCCGUCCCCGUGACGGCUGAGGUGAGAAGCGCGCGUUCACACGCGCGCGCCGCAUCAUCGACCGACCUAUUCUGCUCUCAGAAAGGUUUGAGUAAGAGCGUAUCUGUUGGGACCCGAAA
RNAcentral lists this ribosomal RNA (618 nucleotides) under Lobophytum catalai. RNAcentral's name for it is "eukaryotic LSU rRNA". It matches the Rfam family "Eukaryotic large subunit ribosomal RNA", at positions 402 to 821 of the family's 3401-position model. The record is from RNAcentral. Lineage: Eukaryota; Metazoa; Cnidaria; Anthozoa; Malacalcyonacea; Alcyoniidae.